UUGACGGGGCCCGCACAAGCGGUGGAGCAUGUGGUUUAAUUCGACGCAACGCGAAGAACCUUACCAGGGCUUGACAUCCCCUGACCGCGUAUGAAAGUACGUUUUCACCCUCGGGUGACAGGGAGACAGGUGGUGCACGGGUUGUCGUCAGCUCGUGUCGUGAGAUGUUGGGUUAAGUCCCGCAACGAGCGCAGCCCCUACGUUUAGUUGCUAACGCGUGAAGGCGAGCACUCUAGACGAACUGCCGUUGACAAAACGGAGGAAGGUGGGGAUGACGUCAAAUCAUCAUGCCCCUUAUGUUCUGGGCUACACACGUGCUACAAUGGCCGGUACAGACGGACGCAAAGCCGCGAGGUGGAGCAAAUCCUAAAAAGCCGGUCUCAGUUCGGAUUGCAGGCUGCAAUUCGCCUGCAUGAAGUCGGAAUCGCUAGUAAUCGCGGAUCAGCAUGCCGCGGUGAAUACGUUCCCGGGCCUU
This 475-nucleotide ribosomal RNA is filed under the name uncultured Pelotomaculum sp. Its description in RNAcentral is "bacterial SSU rRNA". It matches the Rfam family "Bacterial small subunit ribosomal RNA", at positions 910 to 1382 of the family's 1533-position model. Lineage: Bacteria; Bacillati; Bacillota; Clostridia; Eubacteriales; Desulfotomaculaceae. The record is from RNAcentral.